Molecule: ribosomal RNA, 261 nt
Filed under: uncultured bacterium
Lineage: Bacteria
Description: partial small subunit ribosomal RNA
Rfam family: Bacterial small subunit ribosomal RNA
Source: RNAcentral
AGAAUCAACGCUGGCGGCGUGCCUAACACAUGCAAGUCGAACGAGAAAGUGGAGCAAUCCAUGAGUAAAGUGGCGACCGGGUGAGUAACACGUGACUAACCUACCUUCGAGUGGGGGAUAACCUCGGGAAACCGGGGCUAAUACCGCAUAACAUCUUUGAAGUGGAAAUUUCGGAGAUCAAAGGGGCAAUUCGCUUGAAGAGGGGGUCGCGACUGAUUAGCUAGUUGGCGGGGUAAUGGCCCACCAAGGCGAAGAUCGGUA